CAAAGAUUAAGCCAUGCAUGUCUAAGUAUAAACAAAUUUAUACAGUGAAACUGCGAAUGGCUCAUUAAAUCAGUUAUAAUUUAUUUGAUAUUCACUUACUACUUGGAUAACCGUGGUAAUUCUAGAGCUAAUACAUGCGUACAUAACCUCGACUUCUGGAAGAGGUGCACUUAUUAGAUAAAAAGCCAACGCGGGCAACCGCUUGUAUGGUGAUUCAUAAUAAUUAAUCGAAUCGCAUGGCCUUGUGCCGGCGAUGAUGCAUUCAAAUUUCUGCCCUAUCAAGUUUCGAUGGUAGGUUAGUGGCCUACCAUGCUUUUAACGGGUAACGGGGAAUUAGGGUUCGAUUCCGGAGAGGGAGCCUGAGAAACGGCUACCACAUCCAAGGAAGGCAGCAGGCGCGCAAAUUACCCAAUCCCGACACGGGGAGGUAGUGACAAUAAAUAACAAUACAGGGCCUUUACGGGUCUUGUAAUUGGAAUGAGUACAAUUUAAAUCCCUUAACGAGGAACAAUUGGAGGGCAAGUCUGGUGCCAGCAGCCGCGGUAAUUCCAGCUCCAAUAGCGUAUAUUAAAGUUGUUGCAGUUAAAAAGCUCGUAGUUGAAUUUUGGCCUUCGYCUGUGGGGUUCGGUCUUCAUUGAUCGGUACCUCAACGGACGGGGCUCCACCUUCUGGGUUAGCCAGUCGUCAUUUCGGUGGCGGCUGGUGAACCAGAACUUUUACUUUGAAAAAAUUGGAGUGUUUAAAGCAGGCUUUCAAGCUUGAACAUAUUAGCAUGGAAUAAUGAAAUAGGACUUUGGCCUUAUUUCGUUGGUUUCUAAAGCCAAAGUAAUGAUGAAUAGGGAUAGUUGGGGACAUUAGUAUUCAAUUGUCAGAGGUGAAAUUCUUGGAUUUAUUGAAGACUAACUUCUGCGAAAGCAUUUGUCAAGGAUGUUUUCAUUAAUCAAGAACGAAAGUUAGGGGAUCGAAGACGAUCAGAUACCGUCGUAGUCUUAACCAUAAACUAUGCCGACUAAGGAUCGGAUGGUGUUAUAUUUUAUAUUGACCCAUUCGGCAUUUCAGCGAAAGCCAAGUUUUUGGGUUCCGGGGGGAGUAUGGUCGCAAGGCUGAAACUUAAAGG
RNAcentral lists this ribosomal RNA (1117 nucleotides) under Umbelopsis isabellina. RNAcentral's name for it is "SSU rRNA". It matches the Rfam family "Eukaryotic small subunit ribosomal RNA", at positions 38 to 1161 of the family's 1831-position model. The record is from RNAcentral. Lineage: Eukaryota; Fungi; Mucoromycota; Umbelopsidomycetes; Umbelopsidales; Umbelopsidaceae.